RNAcentral lists this ribosomal RNA (492 nucleotides) under uncultured bacterium. RNAcentral's name for it is "partial 16S ribosomal RNA". It matches the Rfam family "Bacterial small subunit ribosomal RNA", at positions 29 to 507 of the family's 1533-position model. The record is from RNAcentral.
AGUGAACGCUGGCGGUAUGCCUAACACAUGCAAGUCGAACGGCAGCACAGUAAGAGCUUGCUCUUACGGGUGGCGAGUGGCGGACGGGUGAGGAAUACAUCGGAAUCUACUUUUUCGUGGGGGAUAACGUAGGGAAACUUACGCUAAUACCGCAUACGACCUACGGGUGAAAGCAGGGGAUCUUCGGACCUUUCGCGAUUGAAUGAGCCGAUGUCGGAUUAGCUAGUUGGCGGGGUAAAGGCCCACCAAGGCGACGAUCCGUAGCUGGUCUGAGAGGAUGAUCAGCGACACUGGAACUGAGACACGGUCCAGACUCCUACGGGAGGCAGCAGUGGGGAAUAUUGGACAAUGGGCGCAAGCCUGAUCCAGCCAUACCGCGUGGGUGAAGAAGGCCUUCGGGUUGUAAAGCCCUUUUGUUGGGAAAGAAAAGCAGCAGGUUAAUACCCCGCUGUUCUGACGGUACCCAAAGAAUAAGCACCGGCUAACUUCGUG